Molecule: ribosomal RNA, 323 nt
Filed under: uncultured Actinomycetes bacterium
Lineage: Bacteria; Bacillati; Actinomycetota; Actinomycetes
Description: bacterial SSU rRNA
Rfam family: Bacterial small subunit ribosomal RNA
Source: RNAcentral
GACGAACGCUGGCGGCGUGCUUAACACAUGCAAGUCGAACGGUGACUCAGAGCUUGCUCUGACGAUCAGUGGCGAACGGGUGAGUAACACGUGAGCAACCUACCCUUGACUCCGGGAUAACAGUUGGAAACAGCUGCUAAUACCGGAUACGACCUCGACCGUCAUCGGUUGAGGUGGAAAGUUCUGGCGGUCAAGGAUGGGCUCGCGGCCUAUCAGCUAGUUGGUGAGGUAACGGCUCACCAAGGCUUCGACGGGUAGCCGGCCUGAGAGGGCGACCGGCCACACUGGGACUGAGAUACGGCCCAGACUCCUACGGGUGGCAG